This 74-nucleotide transfer RNA is filed under the name Thalassiosira oceanica. It matches the Rfam family "tRNA". From Rfam's summary of the family: Transfer RNA (tRNA) molecules are approximately 80 nucleotides in length. Their secondary structure includes four short double-helical elements and three loops (D, anti-codon, and T loops). Lineage: Eukaryota; Bacillariophyta; Thalassiosirophyceae; Thalassiosirales; Thalassiosiraceae. The record is from Rfam by way of RNAcentral.
GCAGGAUUGGUCUAGUUGGUUAUGACGCGCCCUUCACACGGGUGAGGUCGCCAGUUCGAUUCUGGCAUUCUGUC